CGUGACAGGAACAAGAUGUCUGCUUUUGAGAAAGAUUUGUUGAAGAAAAAAUUUGGUUUACCUUCUAAACCCCCUGUUGGGCCAAGUGCAAAUCAAAGUAGGAGAACUCAGAUAAAGAAAAGAGAUUAUACACCUGUUUAUUGGGAUAAAUAUUUUGAAUCUAAGCAUGAUGUUAAAACAGAUAAAAAUGAUAUAUUUAGAGUUUAUGAAUGUGGUACGACAGGACCCGUUCUUGUGUUUCUACAUGGUGGAGGAUUUUCAGGAUUAUCAUGGGCACUUUUAUCAUCGGUAGUAUCUGAUCUGGUUACCUGUAGAUGUGCCGCUAUAGAUUUACGUGGUCAUGGUGACAGUUCGACAUCCAAUGACAGUGACUUAAGUGCAGAUACAAUGGCUAAUGAUGUUGGUGAUGUUGUUAAAAGUUUAUAUGGUGAAGAUCUUCCUCCAAUCAUUUUAAUAGGUCACAGUAUGGGAGGAUCUAUAGCUGUAAAUGUAGCUGAUAAACAUCUAAUCCCAUCUUUAAUUGGUUUAUGUGUUAUAGACGUUGUUGAAGGUUCAGCAAUGGAUGCUUUAUCGGGCAUGCAGAGUUUUUUACGUGGUCGACCAAAAAUGUUUCAAUCAUUAGACAAUGUUAUUGAAUGGGCAGUAAGAAGCGGACAGAUCCGUAAUGUUGAUUCUGCCAGAGUAUCAAUGGUGGGACAGGUUAAAAGGGUAGACAAUGAUGAAACCGCCUCGGCAGAAUUAGAACAUGAACAUGAACAUGAUCAUGAUCUUCAGACGCCAUCAUUACCUACAGAUACCAUAGAAGAAGAGCCAGAUGAGAUAGCUACACCCAGCAGCCAAUCAACUUCCUCUAAGGGAAACAACCCAGAUUUUAAAAUACCUACUUCAUCAAAUUGUAAAAAUCAGUACACAUGGAGAAUAGAUUUAGCUAAUACAGAUAUGUAUUGGAAAGAUUGGUUUCAAGGUCUGUCACAGAAAUUUUUAUCGUGUGAAGUACCAAAGAUGUUAAUAUUAGCAGGUGUAGAUAGAUUAGAUAAAGAUUUAACUAUAGGUCAGAUGCAAGGUAAAUUCCAGAUGCAAGUUUUACCACAAUGUGGUCAUGCUGUACAUGAAGAUAACCCUGAUAAGGUAGCUGAAGUAUUAGCCACAUUUAUGAUUCGUCAAAAAGUUGCCGAACCAACUGCUAAUUUCCAGCCGUAGGUAUUUUGAUGUUACUAUUUUGAGAAAUUGUCCGGUUUAAAGUACUUGAGAACUGUUGAAUAAUUCAGAAUGUUUCCUGCCUGUUAAGAAGAAAAACAAAAAUAAUCAGAAUAUCCGGCCUAUGAUAAUCAAUUGAAAACAUCGUCAUCGUAGAGAAAGUUUUUUUUCAUUUUUAACUGCUGUUAAAAGGAGAUCUUGAAGUUGAUUAGUUGAUGUAUAAGCAUACAUCAAGAAAUGAAUGUAAACGUUUUAUGUGUUUAUCAAAUUAAUAGAAUCACAUUUAUAAAUUAUGGACGUUUAAAUUAUAGACUGUAGAAAUGGUCAUUAUUUUGUUUAUGUAGUUAGUACAGUAUGAAAUAUGACUACCCAGGCUUUAGCUAUAUAGAUUAUUAUGUUAUUGUGUUUUGAUCGUCUUUUGACGGAUUUAAAAUGCUGUUAAAACUGUCAUAAUGUGAAAGUGAAACUAUAAAAGGAAUAUCAGUCCAAAAAUUGUAAAAUUUAAUUCGGUAUUUACAAAUAUAUGAUAAGUGAAAAUUUCCCGAAAUUCAGCAUCUUCUGUGGACGAUAUUAAGAAGACAGCACCACCUAUAAGUAUUGGUUAAAAUCUUUGGAUGGGCCCCCUUUCUAAUCCAAUUUAAUCCAAGCCAGAAAAUGAUUGUUAAUUAAAUGAUAUUUGAAUAGAUUUUAGCAUGGCUUUUUGGGUGGGGGGUCCCUUCUGCCAUGGAACAAUUAGAUGACCUAUGUUCAAAUGAAGGUAAUGAAAAUAAAAUACCUCAAUUUAAUUUAAGCUAGAAUGUAGAAAUAUUGCUGGUAUUUUGGUCUGACAAUGAAGUCGGCUGAUCCUAAUCUGUCAUGGAACAAUUAGAUGACCUAUGUUCAAAUGAAGGUAAUGAAAAUAAAAUACCUCAAUUUAAUUUAAGCUAGAAUGUAGAAAUAUUGCUGGUAUUUUGGUCUGACAAUGAAGUCGGCUGAUCCUAAUCUGUCAUCUUUGAUAACUAAAGGGAGAUAAUCUCAUUUACCAUGGUUCUUUGGGACUCGGCAAAACUGGAACCCCUGCCAUAAAAUCCUGAUUGCUCUUACAAUUAUCUGUUGAUAAAGUCAGAUACAUCACAGUCAGAUGGCCAGAGAUCAUCUAGAUUCUACCGAUUCCAUAUGAACCGUGGAUCUGAACAAAUAUUGUCAUGAAUGUAUUUUUCGAGAACAAGCUUUGUUGUAAGAAACAAAUAAAUGUAAAUUGUACAUAAUAAAUAAUUUUAUGUCAAGACUACUUUUCAGAAGGCAUUUUUUCUAGAGGGGAGUUGGGCCACUGAGUCACGGUUUCGAUCCCAAGUCUGUACAAGAGAAGGAUUAGGGUUCCCUGCCGAACAUCGUAGGUUUUCUCCGGCUCAUCGGAUUUCCUCCAAUUGCUAAAGAUGUCUAUGUACAAGACCUAAACAUUUCUUGGUACUCUAAAAUAGUCAGAACUGUGGGUGGGACUUAAAGGUCACUAGUACCCCCGUAUUUAUAUGAAAAUGGGGUUUUGACUAAGAACAAACUUCAAGUGUAAAAUUUAAUAAAUUUGCAAGCACAAGUGAAAGAGUUUUUUUUAUUGAUAACCUGUUGCAAAUUAAAUUAAAGAUACAUUAUGGGAGAUU
This is an RNA transcript of Patella vulgata (common limpet), 2834 nucleotides long. It is a transcript of the gene named protein phosphatase methylesterase 1, with no coding region annotated. NCBI's taxonomy places the organism in Eukaryota, Metazoa, Mollusca, Gastropoda, Patellidae. The record is from RefSeq and is a predicted model, not a curated record. The transcript is spliced from 16 exons.